AGACUAGUCGGACUAAAUAGGGGCUUCUAACCACUAUAAGGGGGUUCAACUCCUCCAUAGUCUU
This 64-nucleotide transfer RNA is filed under the name Tonoscolex birmanicus. RNAcentral describes it as "tRNA-Ser". The record is from RNAcentral. Lineage: Eukaryota; Metazoa; Annelida; Clitellata; Crassiclitellata; Megascolecidae.